CUCAUUCAAAUAUAUAUAUUCAUAUAUACAUCUAUGCAUGUACAUAUGUACUUAAGUAUGUACACUUGUAACAGACAAAAGUAUUUAGGUAUUUAGGUAUUUAGGUAUUAUGCACCUCUCCAUCGAUAGUAGUCGGGAUUAAAUUAAACCACAAGAAACCAUUUAAAAAACUAUUUAUGAACAGUUUUAAGACCAGAGUACAGGGUAUUUUUGAGUCCGGUUGUCAACUGUAGCAGCGUCUUUUGUUUUUAUCUGCUCUGACGCCUGUUGAUGGGGCGUCACUUGAGCAACCGUGAUCCACCUUGAGGCUGAGACAUGUCGGGUAGUUUAUCUUUCAGAACAACAAACCUUACGAACUAAAAGAAACUGCUCAUAUGAUUUUAUGUACGUAUGUAUGUACGUAUAGGAGGAACAUGUAAGUUUGUAUGGAUGUCAGACUCACACAAAAAUAUCCCUACACAAAGGAGUGAGCACUUUUAGUAUACUUAGGCUGAACCCCAGGCGAAGGCUUGCCGACACUCCUUAUAUCCUGUUCUUUGCCUCGACGGAGUGUCGUGCGUCUUUUCGGCAUAUCCUCUUUUCGUUGUGGCCCCUUGCGUCUCGUGCGACAAACCUUCCACUACCACUUCCACAUCCAUUUCCUGGCUUGCCACACGUGCGGCUGCGGUUAGUUUUCUGUCUCUGGAUGACGCCACGGCGUCGCUGUCCCGUCGCCGCCUCUAAGUAACCCAAGGUGUCUAUACGAGUACUUCGGGUGUGUGGUGCAAUGCCCAACUGACUGCGGGGGACAGGGAGUGCAGUGCGGUCUCUUUGUCGCCCCAGCAAAUGCGGUUGCACAUUGACGGAACAGAUUGGUUUCGAUGUGGUUUGGUUCGCGCUGGUCUCGUUUCGUCUGUGCUGUCGGAGUUGUGUGGACAGUGGAGGUGAGUUUAGGGAUUCAAAAGAAAUUGCACUAGGUACACAACUAUUGUAAUUUACUUACAUAAUUUGCUUUUUCAAAUGAAAGUUUUUGGCUGGAAAAUGCAUUCAUUCAAAUGUUUCACCAGAGAAGUGCACCAUGCGCAUAUUUAAAAGGAAAAAUGUUGUAUUCAACAUUUUGAAGCAAUAUUUUCGACAGAAACACUGCACUCCUAUCAGAAAUUGGCAUGCCGGUGCAGCUCCUAUUUCCUGUGUCCAUUAAUUCUACAUUUAUCUGAAAGUCACAGAAUGCUUACAAAAUCAGUAUCAGGAUCGGAAAAUCAGCGUCUAGGGUAUGCUGUAUUUUCCUGCCGUGAUAGCCAUGUAGGUGAUUCGUUAGAGAGGGAUCUGUGUAUUAUAAUCAUUCUGCCUGGAGAAGAAUAAUCCCCAGCUGGGCCCCGCAAUAAGGGGACAGGGGUACUUGUGUCGCAUAACAUCUUCUGCUCUUCAUUAUAGUCUGACUUCAGCAGGAGCCCACUCCCAGCCUGGGAACACGUUGCCGCAGCCACGAUGGGACCCAAGGGGCUUACGUCACGCAGCGAAAGUGGCGGAUGCUUGUGUACCACGAGUACUCCUCCUCGCCCAUGAACUAUGUACAUAGGUAUGUACAUACAUAUGUUUGUAUGUAUGUACCAUGGCGGGUGUGCACUAUAAGUGUGAGGACAUGUUUGUGCCUCUGGUCUGGAUGUUCACUCAGUCAUUAGGAGCAUGUAACGAAUAAAUUGCGUAUAAUAGCCUUCUGCAUUUAAAUAUGGCGCUAGAACAAUAUCUCG
RNAcentral lists this long non-coding RNA (1730 nucleotides) under Drosophila guanche. The record is from RNAcentral. Lineage: Eukaryota; Metazoa; Arthropoda; Insecta; Diptera; Drosophilidae.